Non-coding RNA from Salvelinus sp. IW2-2015, 1770 nucleotides. The record is from RefSeq and is a predicted model, not a curated record. NCBI's taxonomy places the organism in Eukaryota, Metazoa, Chordata, Actinopteri, Salmoniformes, Salmonidae.
UUCCACGUCUUUGAGAUCAUGCGUCAGCUGCCUGGCUUCUCCAUGUAUGAUCUUAAUGUUGAUCCUGAGGUAUCUCAACCUACUGGGAAAGUCACCUUCGCCAGGCCACAGAGAGUCGUCAUGUGGCUGAACCAGAUCUUCCUCCUACCGGAGGGCAUUGAUACCCCAGUUGUGACGUUCAACUUUCUGCGCCGUGGGCAGAGAUCACACUAAUCACAGACGACAUAGACCUACAGGCARAGGCAGACUUYCCCACGUACUUUGGGAAGCUGCGGACCACCAUGACUGAGGUGAACAAACCUGUUCUCACACAACCCACCUCAACUUUCACACCAAUAGCAUUUCUCUCGUUACCAACCUCACAACACCUUUGAUAUCGCUUUAUUUUUGUGUAGUUGGCCUAACAUUUCAAUGUUCUUUUUCAGUCGACUCGGUUCGACGUYUCACUAUGGGACACACCCACUUUUACGGGUCAUUGGUUGAAGCCUUAUUCAAUCAAACCUAACAGGCCAUUCAGAGCUUUGUKGGUGUAUGCCCCUCGUGUCUAUAUAACAUCCUGCACUGCUCUGGUUUCCUAUUUCUUUGCAUCAUCACAAGUCUAUUUGGGUACUAGCUCAUUAAGCAACGUUCUUCAGAAAACUAGCUCUCAACWUAACUUUUCUUUCCUGGUGGGUUACCACCCCACCAUGGAGAAUUGGGUGGCUUAUUUUCUAUUUUCAGGAAUUCUGAAAUCUUCAGCUUCACUUUACAGAGUGAAAAUACCUUAGUUAGCUUGUUAGCAGCACUUYUUGUCGUUGGCUAGCUACAGUACAUCUGUUGCCUGGCCUUGUUAGCUAGCUUGCUCCACUGCUUUAGCAUCCCGCUAAUUGCAGGUUCCCACAAAUUUAAGCUACUUAUACCUGGGGUCUCUAGCUCUCUGUCGGAUUCCACCGUUCGGAGCUAGCUAGCUAAACUUUUGAAUGUCUUGGCUGUGUAGUGUGCUAACGGAUCCGCUGGUGUUUUAGCUAGAAUCCUUUGGGCUAAACCCUCAUUCGAUUUGUUUGGCUAGCACGAGCGGUGCUGUUUCUUCAGUGUGUUACCCCACCAUUGAAGCACCAUCCCUUUUACCUUCCCCUGUGAAUGAUAGCCCAGCCGUUCGUUCUACCUCGAGUUAUUUGGUUUACACACCGAGUCGGCACUUGGUAUCUCAUGCGACGGCUCGGCUAGCUGGCUAUCGUCACUCAGGUGAAGAUUGCGGGCAUUACAAUUGCGAGCAUUACAUGUCCGGGACAGAUUCCCAUCCACUCUGUAAUACUUGGCUAGGCGUCGAACACGCCAUGGAGGCUCUCGUCGACCCCACUAGUUGUGUGCAUUGCGCUCAGAUGGGCUCCGGUGGCCUAAGACGUAGAGCCAAGUACAUGGAAAGUAUUGCCCAGGCCUCGUCCUUGCUCGAAGACGACUCUGUUGACAAUGAAGUCCCUGAGGAGGGAGAAGCUACCGCCUCUGUCUGAGGCGGACCUUAAUUCUGAUGAAUCCGGAAGUGAGGACGACAGCAUGUCUCUUGCCGCAUCAGCCUCUCUAACCAGGAGAUGGAUUACGCCCCUGAAUAAUUUCUCCCCUCUACUCAGUUUGUGCUACCCAGCCAGACUGCAGAGGUAGGACAUGAGUCAAUAACUGACCUCUCCUUCUUCGAGGCAAUCAGAUGCACUGCAACCAAAUUUGAUGUUGAGUAUUCAACGCCUCCCACACCUUACAAGAAGACUAGUGUAACGGAUGUGAAAUGGCUAGCUA